AAAAACGGAGAAUAGGAGCAGAAAGGCGCUGGCCGAUCACACGCAGACCUCGCGUUCUUCCCUCCUUUAUAUACAGCGGACAAAUCGGUGAUUCGCAGGUCUGCGCGACUACGGUACCCGCUGCUUGUUCUGCGUCUCCACGUGUCGUUUCACUACCUUUUCCCCCUUUUAUUUAGCGUGCGCCCGCGCCGCGCCGAUGUUUGAGAGUCUUUGAUGCAGCUGUACGGGCCGAGAUGAGAGGGAAGAGAAGAUGAGAGAAGCAGAGAGUUGAGGGAAAGAACAUAGACUCCUCCUCCG
This is a non-coding RNA of Caenorhabditis elegans, 297 nucleotides long. The record is from Ensembl. Lineage: Eukaryota; Metazoa; Nematoda; Chromadorea; Rhabditida; Rhabditidae.